UAAUUGGUGGCCUGAAGUCAC
RNAcentral lists this non-coding RNA (21 nucleotides) under Arabidopsis thaliana (thale cress). The record is from RNAcentral. Lineage: Eukaryota; Viridiplantae; Streptophyta; Magnoliopsida; Brassicales; Brassicaceae.